Aquila chrysaetos chrysaetos is the source of this 660-nucleotide long non-coding RNA. RefSeq lists it as uncharacterized. Lineage: Eukaryota; Metazoa; Chordata; Aves; Accipitriformes; Accipitridae. The record is from RefSeq and is a predicted model, not a curated record. The transcript is spliced from 3 exons.
UGUAUCACUUCCUUCUUGCAGUAGUGAAAUUUUCCCUUGCUAUAAUACAAUCCCUGUUGUGUCUUUGGAAGUACGGAUUCAGAUACAAUGCCAGGAAAAAUAGGCUAUUAACAAAGAAAGUUCUGUACCUUGGAUUCACCUUUGAAGGGCAUCGUGUCGGUGUCCAGGAAUGUUUCAUAGACAAGCAGAAAAGCAGCAAAAGAGGUACCUCACAUGAACAGCUAGCCAGAAAAUGAACACGAGUGCUGGUAAAACAGACGUUAAAAUCCCAAAAACAACAAGGAAAGAAAGAGGAAGCCUGUGCUUUAUCACAGUUUUGCUACUCUAAAGGUUACUCUGAAGGAAAAGCAAAACAGAUGUGUCAGAUCACAUGAGCAUUUCGAAAGGCUAAAAGGUUGUCUGAAAAAAAAGGAUCAAGUUGAAGGCAUCUGCUGUGAAGAGAGAAGCAGCUGCUCAGGAAUGGUCUGAGGACAAAAGCCUGUGUCUGAGGAAGGGGAACAUCAUUUUGACAGCUGGAGAGUAUAGAGUUCCCACCAGAGACCACCCGUGAAUGGAAGAAGUGGAGCCACCUUCACAAGUCACCAGCUUUCAGCACUGGCUGGUGAACCAAAAUACCAGAGCCCUGUUGUGGAAGAUUUAUACACCUAAAGAGGGACUUAG